Caenorhabditis brenneri is the source of this 71-nucleotide non-coding RNA. Lineage: Eukaryota; Metazoa; Nematoda; Chromadorea; Rhabditida; Rhabditidae. The record is from the annotation of a GenBank genome assembly.
GCUUGUGUGGAGCAGUGGCUAACGCUUUGCACUAUCAUUUUGGAGUCCGGGGUUCGACCCCCAUUCAGGCU